Molecule: long non-coding RNA, 1055 nt
Organism: Piliocolobus tephrosceles (Ugandan red Colobus)
Lineage: Eukaryota; Metazoa; Chordata; Mammalia; Primates; Cercopithecidae
Exons: 6
Source: RefSeq, a predicted model, not a curated record
AAAAAAAAAAAAAACUUAGAUAAAUAGAAUAAUGAAAUUCAAGAGAUUAUGCAGAGAGAAAAUUAUUUUUGCUGUGUCAAAUGAAAACAUUGUUUUUGAACUUCUUUCUUUUACAUUUUAUUUUGACAUAAUUUCAGACUGACAAAAAAGUAAAAGGAAAAUGGCUCUGUACCUCCCCAGAGUUUGCCAGACUGUGAAGCUGGGGUCACCGUCCUCCACACUGCUAGGUCUGUCCGAGACCUUUUACCUCAACUGGAAGGAGUGAGUUAGAGUCCAGAAAGAUGAAUGUAUUCUGGAAUUGGAUAGUGCUGAUUAUACAACCUUGUGAAUAUACAAGAUCCAAUGAACUGCACUUUAAAAGGGUCUACCUUCAGGGUAAAUUUCUGGAAGUGGGAAUGUUGUGUCAGAAUGUAAACGCGUAUGUGAUCUUGCUGAAAAUUGCUAAGAUCCAAGAAGGUUGUACCAAUGUGUAUGCCCACUGCAGUCAGCGUAUGACAGAGGCCUAUUUUCCCAUGACCUCUUUGUGACAGUAAGAUGGUUCUGGAGGCUGGGAAGUACAAGAUUAAGGUUCUGGCAGAUUUCGUGUCUGGUAAGGGCCCAUCCCUCACUCAUCAUGCCUUCUUGCUGAGUCCUCACAUGGUGGAAGGGGCAGACAGGCUCCCUUGGACCUCAUUUUUAUAAGUUAUUUACUAAGCCGGUUAAGGAAUACAGAAUGGGUGCAUAUGUUGUCGACUAUUCAGACUUUUUCAGAGAGUAAUUUUCUGUUCUUCAUUGUGGAACAUAACAAGGACCCACACUGACCUGUGAUCAUAAAUAGGGGCUACAUGCAUAACUGGAAAUACUUCAAAAGCAAUUUGGAUCAUCAAGCCGUCAUUUUCCUUUUCCCAAUUAUUUUCCAUCUUGACAACGCGGACCUCAAAUUGAAUGCUUUACAAAAGAGAGAAGGUGCUGAGCUGUUCAUCUUCCCACAUAAGGAAAAACAAAGAGGACUGGCUUGGAUUUCAGGAAGUAAGUUUAAGGCCACACAUCAGGAUUUCCUGACAGUUAACUCCCAG